Molecule: ribosomal RNA, 1841 nt
Filed under: Listeria monocytogenes
Lineage: Bacteria; Bacillati; Bacillota; Bacilli; Caryophanales; Listeriaceae
Description: partial 23S ribosomal RNA
Rfam family: Bacterial large subunit ribosomal RNA
Source: RNAcentral
UUGGUUAAGUUAGAAAGGGCGCACGGUGGAUGCCUUGGCACUAGGAGCCGAAGAAGGACGGGACUAACACCGAUAUGCUUUGGGGAGCUGUACGUAAGCGUUGAUCCAGAGAUUUCCGAAUGGGGGAACCCACUAUCUUUAGUCGGAUAGUAUCCUUACGUGAAUACAUAGCGUGAGGAAGGCAGACCCAGGGAACUGAAACAUCUAAGUACCUGGAGGAAGAGAAAGAAAAAUCGAUUUCCUGAGUAGCGGCGAGCGAAACGGAAAGAGCCCAAACCAAGAAGCUUGCUUCUUGGGGUUGUAGGACACUCUAUACGGAGUUACAAAAGAAAGUUAUAAAUGAAGCGGUCUGGAAAGGCCCGCCAAAGACGGUAACAGCCCGGUAGUUGAAAUGGCUUUCCCUCCAGAGUGGAUCCUGAGUACGGCGGAACACGUGAAAUUCCGUCGGAAUCCGGGAGGACCAUCUCCCAAGGCUAAAUACUCCCUAGUGACCGAUAGUGAACCAGUACCGUGAGGGAAAGGUGAAAAGCACCCCGGAAGGGGAGUGAAACAGUUCCUGAAACCGUGUGCCUACAAGUAGUUAGAGCCCGUUAAUGGGUGAUAGCGUGCCUUUUGUAGAAUGAACCGGCGAGUUACGAUUUGUUGCAAGGUUAAGCGGAAAAAGCGGAGCCGUAGCGAAAGCGAGUCUGAAUAGGGCGCAUAAGUAACAGGUCGUAGACCCGAAACCAGGUGAUCUACCCAUGUCCAGGAUGAAGGUAAGGUAAUACUUACUGGAGGUCCGAACCCACGCACGUUGAAAAGUGCGGGGAUGAGGUGUGGGUAGCGGAGAAAUUCCAAUCGAACUUGGAGAUAGCUGGUUCUCUCCGAAAUAGCUUUAGGGCUAGCCUCGAGGUAAAGAGUCAUGGAGGUAGAGCACUGUUUGGACUAGGGGCCCUUCUCGGGUUACCGAAUUCAGAUAAACUCCGAAUGCCAUGUACUUAUACUCGGGAGUCAGACUGCGAGUGAUAAGAUCCGUAGUCGAAAGGGAAACAGCCCAGACCACCAGUUAAGGUCCCCAAAUAUAUGUUAAGUGGAAAAGGAUGUGGGGUUGCUUAGACAACCAGGAUGUUGGCUUAGAAGCAGCCACCAUUGAAAGAGUGCGUAAUAGCUCACUGGUCGAGUGACCCCGCGCCGAAAAUGUACCGGGGCUAAACAUAUUACCGAAACUGUGGAUGAACCUCUUUAGAGGUUCGUGGUAGGAGAGCGUUCUAAGGGCGGUGAAGUCAGACCGGAAGGACUGGUGGAGCGCUUAGAAGUGAGAAUGCCGGUAUGAGUAGCGAAAGAAGGGUGAGAAUCCCUUCCACCGAAUAUCUAAGGUUUCCUGAGGAAGGCUCGUCCGCUCAGGGUUAGUCGGGACCUAAGCCGAGGCCGAUAGGCGUAGGCGAUGGACAACAGGUAGAGAUUCCUGUACCAGUGCUAAUUGUUUAACCGAUGGGGUGACACAGAAGGAUAGGGAAUCGCACGAAUGGAAAUGUGCGUCCAAGCAGUGAGUGUGAGAAGUAGGCAAAUCCGCUUCUCGCGAAGCAUGAGCUGUGAUGGGGAAGGAAAUUAAGUACGGAAGUUCCUGAUUUCACGCUGUCAAGAAAAGCCUCUAGGAAGAGUAGUACUGCCCGUACCGCAAACCGACACAGGUAGAUGAGGAGAGAAUCCUAAGGUGAGCGAGAGAACUCUCGUUAAGGAACUCGGCAAAAUGACCCCGUAACUUCGGGAGAAGGGGUGCUCUAUUAGGGUGCAAGCCCGAGAGAGCCGCAGUGAAUAGGCCCAGGCGACUGUUUAGCAAAAACACAGGUCUCUGCAAAACC